This 900-nucleotide ribosomal RNA is filed under the name uncultured bacterium. RNAcentral describes it as "bacterial SSU rRNA". It matches the Rfam family "Bacterial small subunit ribosomal RNA", at positions 8 to 916 of the family's 1533-position model. The record is from RNAcentral.
AGAGUUUGAUCCUGGCUCAGGACGAACGCUGGCGGCGUGCUUAACACAUGCAAGUCGAACGGAAAGGCCCUGCUUUUGUGGGGUGCUCGAGUGGCGAACGGGUGAGUAACACGUGAGUAACCUGCCCUUGACUUUGGGAUAACUUCAGGAAACUGGGGCUAAUACCGGAUAGGAGCUCCUGCUGCAUGGUGGGGGUUGGAAAGUUUCGGCGGUUGGGGAUGGACUCGCGGCUUAUCAGCUUGUUGGUGGGGUAGUGGCUUACCAAGGCUUUGACGGGUAGCCGGCCUGAGAGGGUGACCGGCCACAUUGGGACUGAGAUACGGCCCAGACUCCUACGGGAGGCAGCAGUGGGGAAUAUUGCACAAUGGGCGGAAGCCCGAUGCAGCAACGCCGCGUGCGGGAUGACGGCCUUCGGGUUGUAAACCGCUUUCGCCUGUGACGAAGCGUGAGUGACGGUAAUGGGUAAAGAAGCACCGGCUAACUACGUGCCAGCAGCCGCGGUGAUACGUAGGGUGCGAGCGUUGUCCGGAUUUAUUGGGCGUAAAGGGCUCGUAGGUGGUUGAUCGCGUCGGAAGUGUAAUCUUGGGGCUUAACCCUGAGCGUGCUUUCGAUACGGGUUGACUUGAGGAAGGUAGGGGAGAAUGGAAUUCCUGGUGGAGCGGUGGAAUGCGCAGAUAUCAGGAGGAACACCAGUGGCGAAGGCGGUUCUCUGGGCCUUUCCUGACGCUGAGGAGCGAGAGCGUGGGGAGCGAACAGGCUUAGAUACCCCUGGUAGUCCACGCUGUAAACGGUGGGUACUAGGUGUGGGGUCCAUUCCACGGGUUCCGUGCCGUAGCUAACGCUUUAAGUACCCCGCCUGGGGAGUACGGCCGCAAGGCUAAAACUCAAAGGAAUUGACGG